UACAGAGGGUGCAAGCGUUGUUCGGAAUUACUGGGCGUAAAGCGCGUGUAGGCGGUCUGAUAAGUCGGUCGUGAAAGCCCUUGGCUUAACCAAGGAACUGCGAUCGAAACUGUCGGACUAGAGUAUCGGAGGGGAUGGUGGAAUUCCCGGUGUAGAGGUGAAAUUCGUAGAUAUCGGGAGGAACACCUGUGGCGAAGGCGACCAUCUGGAAGAUUACUGACGCUGAGACGCGAAAGCGUGGGGAGCAAACAGG
RNAcentral lists this ribosomal RNA (253 nucleotides) under uncultured bacterium. RNAcentral's name for it is "partial 16S ribosomal RNA". It matches the Rfam family "Bacterial small subunit ribosomal RNA", at positions 524 to 776 of the family's 1533-position model. The record is from RNAcentral.